This 318-nucleotide unclassified non-coding RNA is filed under the name fungal sp. RNAcentral describes it as "partial internal transcribed spacer region". The stretch from base 1 to 46 matches the Rfam family "Eukaryotic small subunit ribosomal RNA", at positions 1786 to 1831 of the family's 1831-position model. The record is from RNAcentral. Lineage: Eukaryota; Fungi.
AAGUCGUAACAAGGUUUCCGUAGGUGAACCUGCGGAAGGAUCAUUAACAAAUAUCCAUUUUAUGGGUGUUAAAUCCAUAUCAACCCCUUGUGAAUUGUUAUCGUUUCGGCAGUUAUUUUUUAUUGAAGAUAUUUAUUUUGAGGGAGAAUAAAUAGAAAACUUCCUCAAAUUUUUAUAUUUCAUUAAAGAAGCUGCCAAUAGGUUACUUUUGUAAUCUAAUUUUUUAUAAAAACUCUGCUGAUAAUCUCUUAGUCUAAUUUAUAUUUUUUAUUGAAUAAUAAAAAAAUACAACUUUUGACAACGGAUCUCUUGGUUCUC